UGGUGGAGUGAUUUGUCUGGUUAAUUCCGUUAACGAACGAGACCUCGACCUGCUAAAUAGUCUGGUGAAUCCUCGGAUUCAUACAAACUUCUUAGAGGGACUAUCGGUGUGUAGCCGAUGGAAGUUCGAGGCAAUAACA
This 139-nucleotide ribosomal RNA is filed under the name uncultured eukaryote. Its description in RNAcentral is "partial 18S ribosomal RNA". It matches the Rfam family "Eukaryotic small subunit ribosomal RNA", at positions 1299 to 1458 of the family's 1831-position model. The record is from RNAcentral.